RNA transcript from Lycium barbarum (goji berry), 4424 nucleotides. RefSeq lists it as uncharacterized. The transcript is spliced from 25 exons. The record is from RefSeq and is a predicted model, not a curated record. Lineage: Eukaryota; Viridiplantae; Streptophyta; Magnoliopsida; Solanales; Solanaceae.
AAAUCUUAAAUUUUACAUUAAUACAUAGUAUAACACCACAAAGCUCCCAAAACGUUAUGGAGUACCAUUUCAACUAAACAAACACAAGAAUAAAAAAGCAACGCCUAAAAGCCAUUCAAAAUUCGAAGUUUUGUGAAUAUAUUAAGUAAAUAAUAAAUUCGAUCCAACAAAAAAUUCACUUCUCAUUUUCGCCAUGUUUGCGAAGAAGUUUUUUCAAAAAGCUACACAAUAUCAUCAUAAUCAGCCAAAUGGCAGUGGUUUGACAGCAAAUGACCUGAAUAUUCGUGCUACUGUACAUUAUGGUAUCCCCUCAACAGCAUCAAUUCUUGCAGUAGACCCCGUCCAGCGACUAUUGGCCAUUGGAACAUUGGAUGGUAGGAUAAAAGUGAUUGGUGGGGACAAUAUUGAAGGUCUCUUCAUUUCUCCAAAGCAGUUGCCUUACAAAUAUUUAGAGUUCCUUCAAAACCAAGGUUUUCUUGUCAGCAUCACAAAUGAAAAUGAUAUUCAGGUUUGGAAUCUCAAAAGCAGAUCUGUAGCUUGUGAUUUGCAAUGGGAUUCAAAUAUAACUGCUUUUUCAGUUAUCAAUGGAUCUUCCUUCAUGUAUGUUGGAGAUGAAUAUGGAACAAUCUCAGUUUUGAAGUUCUGUGAUGAGAGCAACAAGCUACUGCAACUGCCAUAUCAGAUCUUAUGGAGUUCUCUUUCUGAAGCAGCUGAUUUUCCGUAUUCAGAUCAUCAACCAGUUGUUGGAAUUCUCCCCCAACCUUUUACUUUCGGAAAUAGAUUAUUGAUUGCAUAUGAGAGUGGUUUAAUUAUACUUUGGGAUGUCGUCGAAGCCCAUGUUAUCAUUGUCAAAGGUGAUAAAGAUCUCCAUUUGAAGGAUGGUGCAGUAAAUUUUAAAAAGAACGCAGAUUCCAGCUCUCCCGAUGAUCUAUUGCAGCACCAAUUAGAGGAGAAAGAGAUAGCCACACUUUGCUGGGCAUCCACUGAUGGGUCCAUUCUUGCCGCUGGGUACAUAGAUGGAGAUAUUCUGCUUUGGAAAAUAUCAAAAUCGACCGCAAGAAAAGGUCAAGAAGCCGGACCAUUUGAUAAUGUUGUUAAGCUACAAUUGUCUUCUGCUGAAAAGAGGCUUCCUGUCAUUGUCUUACACUGGUGGGCAAAUAGUAAAUCCCGGAAUAAUAGCGAUGGCCAUCUCCUCAUUUAUGGCGGUGAUGAAAUAGGAUCAGAUGAAGUCAUUACGAUUCUUACUCUUGAGUGGUCAUCUGGAAUGGAGACUUUGAAAUGUGUUGGUCGUGUUGACCUCACUCUUAGUGGCUCAUUUGCAGAUACAAUCUUAUUACCAACUACUGGGGCAACAUCAACUGAUGAAAAAGCUGCUUUAUUUGUGUUGAUGAGUCCUGGGCAACUAAACCUUUUUGAUUGUUCUACCUUGUCUGACUUGGUAUCCAAAGAGGAGAAGAAAGUAUCUCUAUCAGCUAAGGAUUUUCCUGUAGAAUUGCCAACUGUUGAUCCUUCCAUGACAGUGACAAAGCUUACCCAGUUGCAUUCAGAUGGAAACACAGGGGAGCUUCUGCAAGAGACACCUUUCUUCAAGAAGCUUUCCACAGCAACAUCAUCUGAGCCUAACAGAUGGCCCUUGACUGGAGGGGUGUAUAAUCAUAUUUCUCGAGCUGAGACCAACAGGAUUCAGAGUGUUUUUAUAGCUGGUUAUCAGGAUGGAUCUGUAAGGAUGUGGGAUGCCACUCAUCCGGUUUUCCGUCUCCUUUGUGUCUUGGAUAGAGAGGUUAAAGGUGUAAAUACAGUUAUAUCAAUUGCUUCAGUUUCAAAAAUAGAUUUCUGCUCCCAGACAUUAAGAUUGGCAGUUGGGGAUGCAUGUGGUCUGGUGCGUCUUUAUGAUUUCAAACGUAGCGAUACGGAAAACUUCCAUUUUGUUACUGAUACUAAAAAUGAAGUUCAUAAGUUGGCACAAGGUCAAGGACCUUCUUGCAGAGCUGUUCUAAAGCUUCUCGAUGUUCGAGUCCGAGCAAUUGAGUUUGUAAAUCAUGGAGCCAAACUUGCAGUUGGAUAUGAAAAUGCUAAGGUUGCGGUGUUUGAUAUGACAUCAUUAUCAGUAUUAUUCUUGUCAGACUCCGUAUCUGUUGGUAACUCUCCUCUGGUGGCGCUGAUUGCAAAGAGAUUUGUGCAUAGUGACGGUCAUAGCAAAAGCCCAAAACAAUCAGAGCUUCCAGAAAACCAUAUGGAGGAACUCAUGUUUAUUUUAACUGAGGAUGCAAAGAUCUAUGUAAUUGAUAGUGGUAAUGGUAAAACGUAUGGUUCAGGGCCCCUGCAUUUAAAGAAAGUGUCAACUGCGAUUUCUAUGUAUGUCAUAGAAAACAACAUCCCAUUUUCUGGUAUAAUAAGUAAGCAGCCAGAAUUCAGCAAGGAUGAUGCAGCUAGUAAUGAGCCUUCACAGGAAAUGACCGCUGGUGAUCAAGGUGAUAGGGUUCCUUUUCUAGAAAAUGACCCAUCCAGGAAACACUUUGAGGAGUCCUUUAUUCUACUUUGCUGUAAAGAUGCAAUACGCACUUAUGCUACAAAAUCUGUAGUUCAUGGGGAUAAUAAAUCUGUUUGCAAAGUGAAGCUCGACAAACCUUCUUGUUGGACAACUACUUUUAUGAAAGAGGGGAAAGUUUGUGGAUUACUAUUACUCUUUCAGAAUGGAGAUAUCGAGAUUAGAUCUUUGCCUGAUCUAGGGUUAGUGGAGCGGACCUCUUUAAUGUCAGCUUUAAGGUGGAAUUUCAAGCCAAAUAUGGACAGGGCGAUGAGUUCCAUGGAGAAUGGCCAUAUUACUCUGGCUAAUGGUUCUGAACUGGCUUUCGUGUCCUUGUUAGCUAGUGAAAAUGAUCUCAGAAUUCCAGAAUCUUUGCCGUCUCUUCAUGAUGAAGUGCUCGCAGCUGCAGCAGAUGCUGCCAUGAAAUUCUCCACUCAAAAGAAGAAACAGAUGUUGCUGCAGGGUGGUGGCCCAAAUAUUAUAGGUACUCUCGUUAAAGGAUUUAAAGGGGGAAAACCGAAUCAGAAUAUGGAUCUCAGUCAGAUGUCUAAGUCAAACUUUAGUCAUCUGGAAGGUGUUUUUAUGAAGAACCCACUGCACCCAGAACCGUCCCCUACUAUCACUAAGGAAGUUCAAGAAGAAGUGGAGCUCGAUAUAGAUGAUAUUGAAAUUGAUGAGCCUGUUCCUGUGGCUUCUACUUCAUCUCAUAACACACAAAAUAGUAAAAGAGUAACUGAAAGAGAAAAGUUGCUUGAUUCUGAGGGUGACGAUGCCAAGCCCAGACCUAGGACACGUGAAGAAAUCAUAGCAAAAUAUAGAAAAGCUGGGGAUGCAUCAUCAGCAGCUGGACAAGCAAGAGACAAGCUUCUAGAACGCCAAGAAAAACUUGAGUUUGACAGCCAUGACCGAAGAAAUUGCAUUUGACGGUUUUUCAAAGACGAUUCAGUCGGCUAGUGUCCGGAUUGGGGAAAAAAUGGAUAAAAUGAACUGGCAAUUGGACAGAUUAUUAGAGAGGUUUGGAAUCAGCCUGGAAGAUAAGGGAACCGAUUAUCAUGUUUUUAAAGAAGAUCAAGAAAGUACAGCAGGACCAAAAGUUUAAAAAAUAUUGGAUAUUGAGUCAAAUGAGGUUGAAGAAGCUUCAGUAACUCAAUCAGGUGAUGCUGAAGAAUCCGAUCCUGUAGAAGGAGUAAUUCAAUCAAGUGAUGCCGAAGAAUCUAACAAUGUAGAAGGAGAUUUUAACCGAAGCUCGGAGUUGGCUGAAGCGCAUUCUUGCUUGAUGGGUAGGGCUACCAGUUCUUAUACUACAUUCAAGUUGAUGACUAUGGAGAUAAAGGAAACUAAUGACUUCCCCAUGAGCAGGCUAUCAGAUGGGCGCAAGGUGUUUGAUAAAAUGUCAAACAAGAGGCUCCAUAACAAUUCAUGUGAGAAUUAACCAAAGAACUGAAGAACUACGGAGUGGGGCUGAAGACUUUGCAUCAUUGGCAAAUGAGCUUGUCAAGGUAAUGGAAAAUCGCAAUCGAAAAUGGUGGCAGAUAUGAAGAUAGGCCUUGAAUUCUUACUUGUUAUUAAUCAUCCUUCACUGAGCAACAGAAAAUUCGUCAUUUUUACACCUAAGCAAGUGUCAGGGUUUGACAUGUAAACUGUACAGAUCGCUCUGGCUAUUGAAAACUUUGGGUUAAAGCAACUGAUGAGAGUGUAGCUAAGGUUAUUUUGUGAAAGCUUAGGUGGUUUGUUGUUCAUGAAGGAAUAAUCCACCAUUUUUUUCUUCAUUUCCAGUCUGUUUUGUUUCUCUGCAAAGGAAGAUUACGUAACAGAUGGCAUAUUUAUUGUUUGUGAUGUGAGUAUGGCCUUUCAAAACAGAUAUAGAAAAUAGAAUGACGAAUUAUAACGUGCAACA